GAUGAACGCUGGCGGCGUGCCUAAUACAUGCAAGUCGAGCGAACAGACGAGGAGCUUGCUCCUCUGACGUUAGCGGCGGACGGGUGAGUAACACGUGGAUAACCUACCUAUAAGACUGGGAUAACUUCGGGAAACCGGAGCUAAUACCGGAUAACAUGUUGAACCGCAUGGUUCAACAGUGAAAGACGGUCUUGCUGUCACUUAUAGAUGGAUCCGCGCCGCAUUAGCUAGUUGGUAAGGUAACGGCUUACCAAGGCGACGAGGCGUAGCCGACCUGAGAGGGUGAUCGGCCACACUGGAACUGAGACACGGUCCAGACUCCUACGGGAGGCAGCAGUAGGGAAUCUUCCGCAAUGGGCGAAAGCCUGACGGAGCAACGCCGCGUGAGUGAAGAAGGUCUUCGGAUCGUAAAACUCUGUUAUUAGGGAAGAACAAAUGUGUAAGUAACUAUGCACGUCUUGACGGUACCUAAUCAGAAAGCCACGGCUAACUACGUG
RNAcentral lists this ribosomal RNA (497 nucleotides) under uncultured bacterium. Its description in RNAcentral is "partial 16S ribosomal RNA". It matches the Rfam family "Bacterial small subunit ribosomal RNA", at positions 28 to 507 of the family's 1533-position model. The record is from RNAcentral.